UGUGUGUGUGUAAAUCCACUCCGUCCAUAAGGUGAGAAACAUUAUUCUAACCGCACAUACAAAUUAUCCGAAUGAUUAGAAACUCUCAUGGGACACACCAAGGGAGCAAAACCUUGAGGCCUGCCCAAGGUUUUGUGCCACUGAUCUAAUUAACCCUACGGUGGAUAGUCCAUUCCUAAAAAUCUUCUAGAUGAAAAGAUCCUAGCCACCAACCUCUGACAUUUUUUUCAAUUGAAAGUUGACCACUGGUGAUGCAGUUAACUUGAAAGCGGAGAGUUUUGAACUAGCCAAGUACUUUUCCUUGACCAUCACUGGGAUGCAUCAACUGUUUUAUAUUUUUCUUGACCAUCUAUUUGCGGAAGUGAGUCAGCUUGGUUUUGGUGGGCGAUGGUAAAAGAAAGUGUUUUAGUGGUCAAAGAAACAUGUUGCUGAGUAAUUCAUGUUCCAAAACUGGACUGUGUUGGAAGUUGAAACAAGUCUUAGUGAUUUAUACUGAUAGGACUGUCAACAGGCCAGGCCUAGGGUUGUCUUUGGCUUGGAUUUUGAGCUGGUUGGGCUGGAUCUAAUCAAAAUUUUUACUCUGUCUGGCCAGGCCCCAGCUUCUAUUCAAAAUUGAGAGGGCUAGCCUUAUUCUCAUAAUUGUCACAGUAUGUGUGACUAUUGUGGGUAUGUAUUUCUGGCUGAAUGCUGAGAACUAUCAUUAAAAACAGCAAGACGUCAAACUUGCUUAAUUCAUCCUAGUUUUUAUUGAUUUCAUCUACAUCAAGAUGAUGAUUGAAAUUCGGCAUGAUUGCAAAAUCCAAAUGCAGGUUUCUGACAGUGUAUUUCCUGAUGCUGCUACAAAGAUUUACUUUCAAACAGCUCAGAGAAAUGGCAAGAUAGUCAACUGUAUCACAAGCUUUGGUACAACCAGUUUUUUGUAUGAAGGUAUCUUUAAAACAAAAAGAAAAAAGAAAAAGAAAAAUCAGCAAUCCAGCAAAAGAAACAACAAGGAAUUAUAACAAAGAUUGAUCUAAUAUUAAGUAAUGCAUGUAUGGAAUAGGACAAGAUGUAUAGAAGACAAAUAGAACAAUAGGUGUAGAAGACAUACCAAAUUUAAUAAAAGCAUAGGGCCUGGCAGCAGUUUGACUCCCAUUGACUUUCUCAAAUUCGUUUUUGAGGUCUACUAGGUAUUGAAAAGCAAGUUUCUUCGGAUAAGAAUGAUCACACAUGGUGAAAUAACAUACACGGCCUUUAAUAAUAUAGCUGCAAAAUUAGGUCAGGGUAACAAUUGCAUUUGAUUUAAAUGGACUGGACAUGAAAUGCCUAACAUAGAAAAAUAGGGAACAAGGGAGAAAAUCCAUGUUGUUUUCUUAAGUAGCCAGUUCUGCUACAUGGAUCAAGCUGAAAUGCUACUAUUUCUUGUUCUGCAAUUGGAAUCCUUAGGAGAGCACUUCUUAUAAACAGGUGGUGUGAGUUGGCCAUUUUUCUUAUUUGGUGCAAUUGCUUCUUAGCUAUUAGUAGUACAUGUGACUCUGAUCUCCUGUUAGAAACUAUCUCUGCUCAUCCUUCCCUGCUCUCUCUCUCUCUCUCUCUCUCUCUCUCUCUCUCUCUCUCUCUCUCUCUCUCUCUCUCUAAUAGUAAAUUCUUGAUGUAGUUUGUUUUCCAUUCAGCAUUGAUUUCUUUCAGGGAUUGGCACUAUUGAUUUGUGCAUUGCAGGCCCUUUAUCUGAAUUGCCCAGAGCUUAACGACCUGAAUCUCAAUUUAUGUACAAACUUGCAUCCAGGCAUUGGUGAAAAAUGCAACAGAUGCUAUGAAGGAAUCCCGCAUUCAUGAUUUUCUUGCUUCGUUGAAUGCUCUUCAAUAUGGAAAGAUGGACUUCCACACCGGUAGCUUUAUGGCCAGAAGCUAACAAACACGUCUACACACAAAUGAGAGAGAGAGGAUCCAUUCCAGUGUAAAGAAGAAUCAUCAAUGCCUGACGAAAGGGCGCUGUUCUUUGAAGUGGACAUGGUCCUUGAUGUUGUCUCCUUCCAACUUGAGGCUGGCCCACCACACCAAAUCGCCUUCCACCUUUAGAGAACCCCCACCAACAGUGGUGGUAGAAGCAGCAGCAUUGUCACGGGGAACUUGAAGAGGAAGAUUAUUCAGCUUCGAACAUCCACU
Long non-coding RNA from Magnolia sinica, 2145 nucleotides. RefSeq lists it as uncharacterized. NCBI's taxonomy places the organism in Eukaryota, Viridiplantae, Streptophyta, Magnoliopsida, Magnoliales, Magnoliaceae. The record is from RefSeq and is a predicted model, not a curated record. The transcript is spliced from 3 exons.